GUCGUUUGGGCUAUUACUGUGGCAGGGGACUCCUAAUCCGUUUUCUCACGAUAAAUGUUGUGUGUGCCGUGCCACAUUAACGUUAUAUAGGAUUAAGCGAAGCAAAUAGAGUGGAUUUGAAUCCCCGCCCUGUAAUUAUGUGCAACACAGCUCAGUGGCUGGAAAUACACCGAGUUUUGACUAAUAUACAAGUUUCUGCUGAGAGUAACUGAAGCACUUGGGCUUAUAAUUUCCCCCUUGAGCAGCAUCUUUAUUUUUUAGGAACACUUAAGCAGUAGUGUUUGUUUUAUUUGUCUUUGGGUUGCUUACGUUCUCUGAACAAUUCAGUGUCCCCUGUUCAAUUUAUGUAAUCUGGAUGAAAUUCUAUGGGAUGUUUCUCAUUUCUCUAUUAAUAGAUCUAUAUUGGUUCUUAAGACAUGGUCCCAAAUACCAUGAUUUUUGAAAUUCAGCUUUUUCAUGAAGAAUCCAGCUGUUCGAGCAGCACGCUGCUAAACAGCUUAGCGCUCAAAUUUGCCUCGCUCAGGUAUGCAGCAUAUUACUCAGUGGCACAGACAAGUUUCUUUUGAACAAUGCAACUGAACUUGAAAACAAAUCAUAUCAAAAUGUUUACAAGCUUUUGUGUUUUUAGAAGUCCUCUACAGGAGAGCGCUGCGCGUUCCCGCAGGGCACAGAGAUGAAUUUAGCAUUAUCUGAGUUACGUGGCUGAGGGACGAGAUAGUAAAGAUUUGCUGAAGAUCACACCAAGACCUUGAGCAGUGCUUGCUAUAUUCAAGAUCCACGCUGGAUGUGGCCUCCAAGAGCAGCACUGCAGCAAAACCAGCUGGGUUGUGGCUGUGGAGUGGCCCUGUGAACUUAACAAGAACAAAAAAAGGUAUUUGUGGUCCACCAGUUGUUUUUUGCUGUGCCCAGAAGGUGUGCUUAAACCUGCACACGUAUUCCUCCAACUGUACUUGCCUUUUAUUUUCUUUGUGCUACUUCCCUACACGUUCCUCCAUCCUGUCCAGGAGGACAAAGUCCUAAUCCUGCACUGUUUUCAUGCUGAAAAGAGAACUUUGUAUUCUGCCUGUGUUCUUCUUUUCUAUAGGAAACAAGAUUCGGGCAGUUUCCAUCCAAACCAUCUGGGUGCUCUCCUGGACCGCUUGAUCUGCUCUUGCAGAAGCUUCCAGAUUUUAAGCAGAGCAGGAUGAAAUACAGAGAUUUGUUUCUUGUUAGGAUGACACAUCUAUGUAUUAGUUGAUGCUUAUUUGCAGCUCAGCUGUUUCCAUGUGGUUCCCUUCUGUUUAUUCUUUAAUAGUACACAGGGCCGGAGGAUACGUCUCUCUUCUCCUUUAAAUCUGUAUUCUGCUGCUGUCUCAUCUGUUUAAUACAUUUCCUUUACAAAUCUAGACUUAUGUUUCAGCUUAAUGCCAGCAAGAGCUCUGGAAGGAUUUAUUCUUCUGGACCCUAAUGUAAAAUGAGUAAUGCUAGAACUGGCUCCCUUGGUAGCAGCAACACAUUUUACUACUGAUUGUCAGAAACAAUAAAAAAGGGAAUAUGUUGGUAGUUUCUGUGCUA
RNAcentral lists this long non-coding RNA (1554 nucleotides) under Anas platyrhynchos platyrhynchos (common mallard). RNAcentral describes it as "lncRNA (ENSAPLG00000029525.1)". The record is from RNAcentral. Lineage: Eukaryota; Metazoa; Chordata; Aves; Anseriformes; Anatidae.